This 1438-nucleotide long non-coding RNA is filed under the name Hordeum vulgare. Its description in RNAcentral is "long non-coding RNA (HVUL_LNC001028)". The record is from RNAcentral. Lineage: Eukaryota; Viridiplantae; Streptophyta; Magnoliopsida; Poales; Poaceae.
GCCUCCCUCGAGAUCCCCUCGCAGCCAAAAAGCAACCAUAACCCCAAGCCAAUCCUCUGAGCCCCUUGGAAGCAUCAAGGCAACCGAAGCGCGGGGUGCACCGUGUGUGCCACCGGUAUUCCCGCCGCCUCUCCCCUGCGCCCGAGCCAGGUCUCACGCAAGCCGUGCCUCUCUUCUAGCCCGCCUCUGCGCCCGAGCCAGGUCUCACGCAAGCCAUGCCUCUCUUCUACCCCGCCUCUGCGCCCCGAUGGAGCCAGCCGCUGCUUGGAACCGCGCGGACACCGUCGCCAGGUCGAAGCUCCUCCAGCCCGUGUCGUCGGCAUCUAGUAGGCCAGAUCCGCGCUCCGUCCCUUCCUCUUUGUCUCCUCCCGUUCCCCCUAACCUCGUGCUCUCUCCCCCGUGACCCGUGCAGGAGCCGCAAUGGCCGAUGCACGUUGGAGCUCCUAAGCCGUCGCCUGCCGCCGUUGUUCACCGGAUCCGGUCCCUCCUCACCGGAUCUACUCGAUACCUCGCGGAUCCGUCCUGCCCCAUUUUGAUCCGCUCAUUCCCAAGUAUGCUCAUCGCCGGAGCUCUGUUCCUGCUGUUGUUUGUCUCCUCAGUCGGGAACGAGGACUGGAGCGAGCAUGUCGCUCGCUUGGCCCGCUCGUAGGCCAGCUGCUUGCCAGGCCAAGCCAUGUCGGCCUAGUUGCGUCGUGGAGUCGCACCAAGCGCAGCAUCCCCAGCCCCGCUAGGAGGCCGACCCAUCUCACCCAACCAAGCCGCAGCCAAGCCCAGACCUCGCCCGUCCAAGCGCCCCUCCUCGGCCUAGCUCCCUCAACCAAACCGACCCACCUCGAGGUGGCCCGAUGUGAUUAGCCAAACGCCGACCCCCUAUCCAGCACCGUGCGUGAAUAAUUGUUAUAUUGAGCCCUUAACCAUAGGCCAGUUUCGAACCAGAUUUGGCCCGUUAGCAUUUUUCUGUUUAAUGAAUUUUGUCAAUUAUAUAGAUUUUACAAAUUUCAGAAAAAGGCCCUAGACUUCGUCCAGAUUUGGCCCGUUAGCAUUUUUCUGUCCAAUGAAUUUUGUCAGUUAUCUAGAGUUUACAAAUUUCAGAAAAAAGCCCUAGACUUCAUGCAUAUAAUAACUAUUUAACUGUAUGUCAGAUUAAAAAUCUUCAUAUAUGGAAAUUUACUUAUAUUUUGUGUAUAUUAAUAAUAUGCCAUUUUCAACCAUGAUAAAAAUGUUUAGACUUGUUGUUUUAUUAAAUUUGCAAAAAUGUCAUGUUAAAAUGAUUUAUUAAAUAUCUAAAUAACCAUCGCUCGGAUUAAAAUGACCCACUUAUGUAACUUGACUAGAAAAAUGUGUAGGAUAACAUGGUGACAUUUAUUUUGUUGUUUAACAACAUUAAUAUUGUGUUCUAGGUAGAACAUUAAUGAAAUCUUAAUUUGCAUAUGGGGAC